This 253-nucleotide ribosomal RNA is filed under the name uncultured bacterium. Its description in RNAcentral is "partial 16S ribosomal RNA". It matches the Rfam family "Bacterial small subunit ribosomal RNA", at positions 524 to 776 of the family's 1533-position model. The record is from RNAcentral.
UACGUAGGGGGCUAGCGUUGUCCGGAAUCAUUGGACGUAAAGCGCGUGUAGGCGGUCCGGUAAGUCCGCUGUGAAAGUCGGGGGCUCAACCCUCGAAUGCCGGUGGAUACUGUCGGGCUAGAGUGCGGAAGAGGCGAGUGGAAUUCCUGGUGUAGCGGUGAAAUGCGCAGAUAUCAGGAGGAACACCAAUUGCGAAGGCAGCUCGCUGGGACGUUACUGACGCUGAGACGCGAAAGCGUGGGGAGCAAACAGG